RNAcentral lists this ribosomal RNA (275 nucleotides) under uncultured bacterium. Its description in RNAcentral is "partial 16S ribosomal RNA". It matches the Rfam family "Bacterial small subunit ribosomal RNA", at positions 338 to 605 of the family's 1533-position model. The record is from RNAcentral.
CCUACGGGGGGCUGCAGUGGGGAAUAUUGGACAAUGGGCGCAAGCCUGAUCCAGCAAUGCCGCGUGUGUGAAGAAGGCCUGCGGGUUGUAAAGCACUUUCGGUGGGAAAGAAAAGCGCGGGGUUAAUACCCUCGUGCCUUGACGUUACCCACAGAAGAAGCACCGGCUAACUCCGUGCCAGCAGCCGCGGUAAUACGGAGGGUGCAAGCGUUAAUCGGAAUCACUGGGCGUAAAGCGCACGUAGGCGGCUUGGUCAGUCAGAUGUGAAAGCCCUG